This is a long non-coding RNA of Trachemys scripta elegans, 103 nucleotides long. RefSeq lists it as uncharacterized. The transcript has 2 exons. The record is from RefSeq and is a predicted model, not a curated record. NCBI's taxonomy places the organism in Eukaryota, Metazoa, Chordata, Testudines, Emydidae.
UUGGUGGAGGACAAACAGAAGAGCAGGUUCCUGAUGCAACCUUGAGAUCUCAGCUGUCCGUGUUAUCACCGGCUGACAGACUGCAAAAACUCCAGAAGAGACC